RNAcentral lists this long non-coding RNA (4432 nucleotides) under Podarcis lilfordi (Lilford's wall lizard). Lineage: Eukaryota; Metazoa; Chordata; Lepidosauria; Squamata; Lacertidae. The record is from RNAcentral.
CCCACUAACCAGGUCAUCAACAUUGGUUAGGACCAGAUCUAAAAUGGCUGUUCCUCUUGUUGCUUCUCCCACUUUCUGGACAAUGAAGUUGUCUGCAAGGCCAGUGUGAUGGCCUGGGAAUCCGAUUCAGAGGCUGAACCGGAGGAAUCCCAGCCUGCACAGGAGUCCCCGCCUCCAGGGCCGGCUGAACUGGGGCAGGGCCUUGAUUCUGAAGCGCCUGCACCUGUGCCGGUUCCUCAGGAGCAGGCACCAGGUGAAUCCACUCUGGCUCCGGAGGUGGUUGAGGACUCAGUGCCUACAGGUGAGUCUCCCCCUGGGUCCAGUAACCCUUCAGCCUCUCCUGAACUGCAGAGGCUCAGGGCAGAGAGGCGAAGGGAACUGGUUUCUCCCAGGAGGAGUGCUCGCCUUAAGGCCAGGAGAGGCUGGUCUCCUGGGGGCCGGGACCGCCCCUGGCCUCAGAGAAGAUAAAGGCCAGUCAGCCCGGUCCCAGGUUGCGGGAGCAACGUCGUUGAGUACCUGCUCUUGCCCGGACCCAGACCUGACCUUCCAGUGAUCCUGUCCCCGCCCGGCUUUCUGCUUCGGACCUCGCCUCGCUCCUUGUGAACUGUUUCCAGACCAGUGACCCAGGACCGGACUUUGACUACGUCAACGGUAACCUUCCCCCCGGGACCAGCACAGUUUGCUCCCGCCACACCCACACUCCCCCUUCAUUGGGGUGCGUUCGGGAAAAGCCAGAAGCCAUGGCCGACCAGGCAGCUGCGCUGGUGGCAUUGGCCCAGGAGAAACAGGCCUUGACUCACACCGUGCAGCAGCUCAGCGAUGCGUUUACGGCACUUCAGCAGCGGUUGGAUGCCCUACCGGCUCCUGUGGCUGACGCCCCAGGUCCAGGCAAGUACCCAGUGGCCUUGCCAGAGAAAUUUGAUUGGGCCCCGGCCAGCUUUCCCAUGUUCCUCGCCCAGGCCAAGUUGUAUAUUCGGGGCGAGCCUGGAACUUCCCUGACGACCGCACCAAGGUGCACUUUUUGAUCAGUUUGUUAAAGGACCAGGCAGCCAAGUGGGCAUUGCCGCUGCUCAGGCAAGACUCGCCCUUGCUGACAGACUGUAUGGGGUUUUGCAACCAUUUGGAGGCCGCAUUCGGCAACCCCCAGAAGGAGAGUCAAGCCAACCAGGCAAUUAGGCGUUUGAAACAGGGCAAGUCCACUGCGGCCGCCUACACCAUGGAAUUUCGGCUGUUGGCGCAAGACUUGUCUUGGAAUGACUCUGCACUUCGGGACCAGUAUCUUGAGGGACUGUCGGAUGAGAUACUGGACCAGUUGGCCAUGAUGGAUCGUCCCACCACGCUGGACGCCCUUAUUCAGCGGAGCCUGCAGAUAGACGAUCGGUUGGAGGACCGUCGCCAGACCCGGGACCGCCAGCACCCCCGGCUCCUGGCUCCAGUCCUUCCCAGCAGGUCCACGCCCACAGCCGAGUUGCCGGACGAGCCAACGCAGCUCAGGGCUGCGCGACCUUGCCUCUCCCCCUUGGAGAAGACGCGGUGUCGGGAGGGGAACCUGUGUCUUUACUGCGGUGGGAGUGGACAUUACGCCCGAUCCUGUCCCAAGAAGAUGCCAGUCGCAGGGAAACCGCCAACCUCGGUAGCCGAAGGCCCUAGCAACCUGGGGUCCCAAACCAUGCAAGAGGGGCUCUCACCAGUGGAUUUGCGACAUCUCAUGGUUCCGGUGCGUCUCUACCCUCCAGGUGGGCCCUGGAUUCUUACCCACGCUCUGGUGGAUUCAGGGGCAACCCGCUCCUAUAUGGACGCUGCCUUUGCCGCUCAUCAUCAGGUGCCACUUCAGAACAAGCCAGAACCGGUACAGGUGGAGGCAAUUGACGGACGGCUCCUGCGUUCAGGAGCCAUCACUCGGGAGACCCAGCCCUUGGUCCUGUGUCUCCAGCAGCACCGGGAGGUGCGAACUUUGGACAUUGCCUCCAUGCCCCGGUUCCCCCUGGUGCUCGGGAUGGACUGGCUGGAGGCUCACAAUGUUCAGAUUGACUGGGUCAAUCGGACUGUGCACUUCCCAGACCCGUGUCCCCAUGCUCAGUCCGAGAUGCUAGCAGCCGCACCCACUGAGGAGGCUGCAUCCACGCUCCCCACCGAGUACCGGGACUACCAAGACGUGUUCGAGGAACGGGGGGCAGACCAGCUGCCGCCACAUCGGUCUUUUGACUGCGGCAUAGACCUCCAGCCCGGAGCGCCCCUGCCGGUGACUCGCUUAUACUGUCUAACAGAGCCAGAUCGCGAAGCGUUGCAGGACUUCCUGCACAAGAACCUGGAGUGUGGUUUCAUUAGGCCUUCUACCUCGCCCACCGCUGCGCCAGUGCUCUUCGUUAAGAAGAAAUGUGGGGAGCUUCGCCUUUGCCAUGAUUACCGGGCCCUGAACAAAAUUACCAUCCCAGACCGGUACCCCUUGCCCCUUAUUUUGGAGUUGCUGGAGCCGUUGCAAGGGGCGCAGGUGUUCACCAAGCUAGACCUCCAGGGGGCCUACAAUUUAAUUCGGAUCCGAGCCGGGGAUGAGUGGAAGACAGCAUUCGGGACCCGGUACAGGCAGUUCGAAUACCUGGUUAUGCCCUUCGGAUUGUGCAACGCGCCCGCUGUGUUCCAACGGUACAUCAACCACAUGUUCCAAGACUUCCUAGACAAGUACGUGGUGGUGUACUUCUGGUUGACAUUCUGGUUUUCUCCCGUGACCCGGCUCUCCACGAGGGUCAUGUCCGGACUGUGCUGCAGCGCUUGCGGGAGCACCGCCUGUAUGCGAAGCUCAGCAAGUGCGAGUUCCAUCAGCGGUCAGUGGACUUCCUUGGUCACCGACUCCAGAUGGGGUGCAGAUGGAUCCUGGGAAGGUGGCAGCGGUUCGGGAAUGGGCGGCACCUCGGAACCGCAAGGACCUACAGCGAUUCCUGGGGUUCGCCAACUAUUACCGGACCUUAAUUGCAGAUUAUGCUCAUCGCACCACCCCGUUGACCCGGCUACUGCGCCCCAAGACGCCGUUUUCCUGGUACGAGGAGGCAGAGGAGGCGUUUCAGGGGUUGAAAGCCUGUUUCCAGAGAGCGCCGAUCUUGCAACAUCCUGAUCCCUCUCGACCCUUUGUGGUAGAGACCGACGCCUCCAGUACGGCUCUCGGUGCCGUCUUGUCUCAGCAGUACGGACCCGAUGCGCCACUCUUACCCUGCGCCUUCUAUUCCCGCCAGCUCCUUCCAGCGGAGCGUAACUAUACCGUGUGGGAGCAGGAACUACUGGCCAUCAAGGUGGCCUUUGAAGUCUGGCGCCACCAUCUUGAGGGGGCACGACACCCGGUGGAGGUGAGAACCGACCACCGGAACCUGGAGUACCUCCAGACCACCCGCAAGCUGAACCAAAGGCAGAUCCGGUGGGCGUUGUUCUUUCCCGGUUCCAGUUCCGGAUCCGCUAUAUCCCUAGCUCCCAAAACCAGAAGGCGGAUGCCCUGUCCCGGAAACCUGAAGACAACGCAGACACGGUACAGCAAGCAGUACCCACCACGAUCCUACCACCGGCUGCAUUCCUGGCCACCCAGGAGGCUGAGCCACUGCAGGCUCGGGUGCGGGAACAGCAGCGGGUCGAUGCUUGGGCCCAGGAAUGACUCCGGGAACUGGCCGAAGGGUCAUGCCCUCUGUAUCCGGGGCUGGGCUUGCAACAGGGCCUUCUGCUGCACCACGGUCGCCUGUAUAUCCCACCAGGGCCACUGCAGGCUUAGGUUCUCCGGAUGACCCAUGAUGCCCCAGCAGCGGGACACUUUGGGCGGUAUCGGACCACCCAUCUGGUAAGCCGUGAGUUUUGGUGGCCCCGCCUGAAGGCUGACGUGGCUCGCUACGUUGCUGGUUGUUAUGUCUGCCGGUGGGUAGACAUCUGUUCCAGGAAGGCAUCAUCUAUGUCCUCCGUUUGGCUUGGGGAUCUAUAGUAAACUCCCACAGUGAGGUCACUGUUAUUCUUCUCUCCCUUAAUUUUGACCCAAAUGCUCUCACUUUGGCUUUGAGGUUCUAAAUCUUGGAUCUCUUCACAGGUAUACACAUCCCUGACAUAUAACGCCACUCCUCCUCCUUUCUUGUCUGGUCUGUUUCUCUGAAAUAGAUUGUAUCCCUCCAUUGUUACAUUCCAAUCGUGGGACUUAUCCCACCAGGUUUCAGUGAUGCCUAUUAUGUCAUAUUUAGUUUGCUGUACCAAGAGCUCAAGCUCAUCUUGUUUAUUUCCCAUGCUUUGCGCAUUAGUGUACAGACACUGAAGUCCAUUAAUCAUUCCCCCGUGUCUCUUAUUUAAGGAUUUUUUCCUCCCACCACUAGGUCUGCGUGCUGUUUGCUCCAUUUGGUCUAUGACAUUUGGAUGAUCAUCUUCAUCAGUUGAUAGACUCCUACCUUCAGGAGCAUUGUCUCCCUCCCCC